This is a long non-coding RNA of Camelina sativa (false flax), 506 nucleotides long. RefSeq lists it as uncharacterized. The record is from RefSeq and is a predicted model, not a curated record. NCBI's taxonomy places the organism in Eukaryota, Viridiplantae, Streptophyta, Magnoliopsida, Brassicales, Brassicaceae.
AUUAUUUAAAAAAACUCAAAAAAAUCAAAAUCCGAUCUCUCUUCAUUUCUCUCUGGCCAAGCUUGAUGAAUUUUUCGAUCUGAUCUCAGAUUUUCCCGUGAAGCUUCAAUCAUAUUCGAACUAAGGCCACACGGACAAGCAUUGUCUUCUUCUAUGGGGAGGGAACUUAGAAGACUACGCUUUUUGACCAGGAGAAUGACCGGUAAGGAUCUUGAUGGUCUGAAUUAUGCCAAGCUUCUCGUAGUUGAAAGCCAGUUAAGGGAUGCACUUCUCAUUGUGAAGAACCAAAAGAAGAGAGUAAAGCUGCUAAAAGAUGAAAGGCUGUGCAAACAAGAGGUUAAGAUUUUAUAUCAUAGACAGUACUAUCAAUCUGAGAAGUCUCACAAGGACAUGAGCGGAAAAUGUAAAUGAGCUAAGAUGUGCGUUUUUGAGCCUUGGGUUUUGGUUUCUCAUGUGAUUUUGGAUCUGCUUGUUUCCAAGUUUGACAAAAGUGUAGGAAAGAACAA